This 70-nucleotide transfer RNA is filed under the name Podocnemis unifilis (yellow-spotted Amazon River turtle). RNAcentral's name for it is "tRNA-Val". Lineage: Eukaryota; Metazoa; Chordata; Testudines; Podocnemididae. The record is from RNAcentral.
CAAGAUAUAGCUUACACAAAGCAUCCAGCUUACACCUGAAAGAUGUUCUAAAUACCAAGAACUAUCUUGA